AGUGGGGGAUAACUACUCGAAAGAGUGGCUAAUACCGCAUGAGAUCUACGGAUGAAAGCAGGGAUCGCAAGACCUGCUGCUACUAGAGCGGCCGAUGGCAGAUUAAGGUAGUUGGUGGGAUAAAAGCUUACCAAGCCGACGAUCUGUAGCUGGUCUGAGAGGACGAUCAGCCACACUGGGACUGAGACACGGCCCAGACUCAUACGGGAGGCAGCAGUGGGGAAUUUUGGACAAUGGGCGCAAGCCUGAUCCAGCAAUGCCGCGUGCAGGAUGAAGGCCUUCGGGUUGUAAACUGCUUUUGUACGGAACGAAAAGCCCUGGGUUAAUACCCUGGGGUCAUGACGGUACCGUAAGAAUAAGCACCGGCUAACUACGUGCCAGCAGCCGCGGUAAUACGUAGGGUGCGAGCGUUAAUCGGAAUUACUGGGCGUAAAGCGUGCGCAGGCGGUUUUGUAAGACAGAGGUGAAAUCCCCGGGCUCAACCUGGGAACUGCCUUUGUGACUGCAAGGCUAGAGUACGGCAGAGGGGGAUGGAAUUCCGCGUGUAGCAGUGAAAUGCGUAGAUAUGCGGAGGAACACCGAUGGCGAAGGCAAUCCCCUGGGCCUGUACUGACGCUCAUGCACGAAAGCGUGGGGAGCAAACAGGAUUAGAU
RNAcentral lists this ribosomal RNA (653 nucleotides) under bacterium MS-AsIII-03. Its description in RNAcentral is "bacterial SSU rRNA". It matches the Rfam family "Bacterial small subunit ribosomal RNA", at positions 135 to 783 of the family's 1533-position model. The record is from RNAcentral.